GAUGAACGCUGGCGGCGUGCCUAAUACAUGCAAGUCGAGCGAACAGAUGAGGAGCUUGCUCCUCUGACGUUAGCGGCGGACGGGUGAGUAACACGUGGAUAACCUACCUAUAAGACUGGGAUAACUUCGGGAAACCGGAGCUAAUACCGGAUAAUAUAUUGAACCGCAUGGUUCAAUAGUGAAAGACGGUUUUGCUGUCACUUAUAGAUGGAUCCGCGCCGCAUUAGCUAGUUGGUAAGGUAACGGCUUACCAAGGCAACGAUGCGUAGCCGACCUGAGAGGGUGAUCGGCCACACUGGAACUGAGACACGGUCCAGACUCCUACGGGAGGCAGCAGUAGGGAAUCUUCCGCAAUGGGCGAAAGCUUGACGGGGCAACGCCGCGUGAGUGAUGAAGGUCCUCGGAUCGUAAAACUCUGUUAUUAGGGAAGAACAAAUGUGUAAGUAACUAUGCACGUCUUGACGGUACCUAAUCAGAAAGCCACGGCUAACUACGUG
RNAcentral lists this ribosomal RNA (497 nucleotides) under uncultured bacterium. RNAcentral describes it as "partial 16S ribosomal RNA". It matches the Rfam family "Bacterial small subunit ribosomal RNA", at positions 28 to 507 of the family's 1533-position model. The record is from RNAcentral.